Non-coding RNA from Zea mays, 134 nucleotides. Lineage: Eukaryota; Viridiplantae; Streptophyta; Magnoliopsida; Poales; Poaceae. The record is from Rfam.
UGACUAACAACCAUAAAUUGAUCUCCUACAUCCUCACUGGCCUCAACUACGAGUAAACCUAGUUGCCACCAUCCUUGUCACAAACGAUGAGCUCACCAUCGACGAGGGGUAUUCGCAUCUGCUUAGCUUUGAGC